Molecule: long non-coding RNA, 297 nt
Organism: Lates calcarifer (barramundi perch)
Lineage: Eukaryota; Metazoa; Chordata; Actinopteri; Centropomidae
Exons: 3
Source: RefSeq, a predicted model, not a curated record
GUUGCCUAAACGGUUACUGGACAAACUGAUGAUAAAGAAAGUGAAAUUAUUGUCAGAAGCGAGAAACAGUGCAGCUUUGAAGAUCUGACAAAAUUCAGGUUAUGUCUGAAUUGACCACGGAGACACAUGAUGACAGCUACACCAAAAAGAGCACAGUGAGGUCACAGGACGUCCCCAGACUCCUCCACACUCGCUCCAGAUCAAUGUGCAGCAGACCACAGCAGCUGAGACUGACAGAGGCAACGCUUCAUGAUCACCAUCACAAUCAUCAUAAGUAGUAAUGAUGAGUAAUAUCAG